RNAcentral lists this ribosomal RNA (785 nucleotides) under uncultured Glomus. Its description in RNAcentral is "SSU rRNA". It matches the Rfam family "Eukaryotic small subunit ribosomal RNA", at positions 325 to 1111 of the family's 1831-position model. The record is from RNAcentral. Lineage: Eukaryota; Fungi; Glomeromycota; Glomeromycetes; Glomerales; Glomeraceae.
AUGGUAGGAUAGAGGCCUACCAUGGUGGUAACGGGUAACGGGGUGUUAGGGCACGACACCGGAGAGGGAGCCUGAGAAACGGCUACCACAUCCAAGGAUGGCAGCAGGCGCGCAAAUUACCCAAUCCCGACACGGGGAGGUAGUGACAAUAAAUAACAAUACGGGGUUCUUAUGGAUCUCGUAAUUGGAAUGAGUACAAUUUAAAUCUCUUAACGAGGAACAAUUGGAGGGCAAGUCUGGUGCCAGCAGCCGCGGUAAUUCCAGCUCCAAUAGCGUAUAUUAAAGUUGUUGCAGUUAAAAAGCUCGUAGUUGAAUUUCGGGGUCAGUAGGUUGGUCAUGCCACUGGUAUGUACUGGUCUCACUGAUUCCUCCUUCCUGAUGAACUGUAAUGCCAUUAAUUUGGUGUUGCAGGGAAUCUGGACUGUUACUUUGAAAAAAUUAGAGUGUUUAAAGCAGGCUAACGCCUGAAUACAUUAGCAUGGAAUAAUGAAAUAGGACGUUCGAUCCUAUUUUGUUGGUUUCUAGGAUUGACGUAAUGAUUAAUAGGGAUAGUUGGGGGCAUUAGUAUUCAAUUGUCGGAGGUGAAAUUCUUGGAUUUAUUGAAGACUAACUACUGCGAAAGCAUUUGCCAAGGAUGUUUUCAUUAAUCAAGAACGAAAGUUAGGGGAUCGAAGACGAUCAGAUACCGUCGUAGUCUUAACCAUAAACUAUGCCGACUAGGGAUCGGAUGAUGUUAAUUUUUUAAUGACUCAUUCGGCGCCUUACGGGAAACCAAAGUGUUUGGG